ACUCCAUGGUGUGGACAUUUUUGUUGCAAAUCCUUGAAUCUUUCCCAGGCAUCAUGAAGCGUUUCGUUAUCACGUUGCUUGAAGCUAGUGAUGUCAGUUCUCAGCUU
RNAcentral lists this small nucleolar RNA (107 nucleotides) under Corchorus olitorius. RNAcentral's name for it is "Plant small nucleolar RNA R71". It matches the Rfam family "Plant small nucleolar RNA R71". From Rfam's summary of the family: R71 is a member of the C/D box family of snoRNAs containing the C (UGAUGA) and D (CUGA) box motifs. Multiple nearly identical copies of this snoRNA have been identified in Arabidopsis, and it is thought to function as a 2'-O-ribose methylation guide for 18S ribosomal RNA. Lineage: Eukaryota; Viridiplantae; Streptophyta; Magnoliopsida; Malvales; Malvaceae. The record is from Rfam by way of RNAcentral.